This 295-nucleotide unclassified non-coding RNA is filed under the name uncultured fungus. Its description in RNAcentral is "sequence contains ITS1". The stretch from base 1 to 103 matches the Rfam family "5.8S ribosomal RNA", at positions 50 to 154 of the family's 154-position model. Lineage: Eukaryota; Fungi. The record is from RNAcentral.
GAAAUGCGAUACGUAUUGUGAAUUGCAGAUCAGUGAACCAUCGAAUCUUUGAACGCACCUUGCGGCUGCUGGCACUCCAGCAGCCACGCCCGUUCGAGCGUCACUUAAACCCUCGGGAUACCGCUCCCGGCCUUGGGCGUCCAGGCCUGCCCUGGUGCCCCCAACCGCAGCGGCGGAACCGUCCCGUGUGGCUCUGCGUAGUUGUUUGCUCUCGCAGCGGUCCCCGGGGCGCCUCCUGCCUAAGACAACGACCAAGUCUGACCUCGAGUCGGGUGGGAUUACCCGCUGAACUUAA